RNAcentral lists this transfer RNA (58 nucleotides) under Dipodomys ordii (Ord's kangaroo rat). It matches the Rfam family "tRNA", at positions 8 to 63 of the family's 71-position model. From Rfam's summary of the family: Transfer RNA (tRNA) molecules are approximately 80 nucleotides in length. Their secondary structure includes four short double-helical elements and three loops (D, anti-codon, and T loops). Lineage: Eukaryota; Metazoa; Chordata; Mammalia; Rodentia; Heteromyidae. The record is from Rfam by way of RNAcentral.
UGGCUCAGUGGUAAGAGCGCUUGCCUUGCAUGCCUGAGGCCCUAGGUUCGAUUCCCAG